Molecule: ribosomal RNA, 399 nt
Filed under: Salinicoccus salsiraiae
Lineage: Bacteria; Bacillati; Bacillota; Bacilli; Caryophanales; Staphylococcaceae
Description: bacterial SSU rRNA
Rfam family: Bacterial small subunit ribosomal RNA
Source: RNAcentral
GCACGCCGCGUGAGUGAAGAAGGGUUUCGGCUCGUAAAACUCUGUUGUCAGGGAAGAACGCCGGUGGGAGUAACUGUCCAUCGGGUGACGGUACCUGACCAGAAAGCCACGGCUAACUACGUGCCAGCAGCCGCGGUAAUACGUAGGUGGCAAGCGUUAUCCGGAAUUAUUGGGCGUAAAGCGCGCGUAGGCGGUUCGUUAAGUCUGAUGUGAAAGCCCCCGGCUCAACCGGGGAGGGUCAUUGGAAACUGGCGAACUUGAGUGCAGAAGAGGAGAGUGGAAUUCCAUGUGUAGCGGUGAAAUGCGCAGAGAUAUGGAGGAACACCAGUGGCGAAGGCGGCUCUCUGGUCUGCAACUGACGCUGAUGUGCGAAAGCGUGGGGAUCAAACAGGAUUAGAU